This 26-nucleotide non-coding RNA is filed under the name Rattus norvegicus (Norway rat). Lineage: Eukaryota; Metazoa; Chordata; Mammalia; Rodentia; Muridae. The record is from RNAcentral.
UCCCCACAGCUAGCACUUCUACUCUC